RNAcentral lists this ribosomal RNA (761 nucleotides) under Prevotella melaninogenica. RNAcentral's name for it is "bacterial SSU rRNA". It matches the Rfam family "Bacterial small subunit ribosomal RNA", at positions 28 to 776 of the family's 1533-position model. Lineage: Bacteria; Pseudomonadati; Bacteroidota; Bacteroidia; Bacteroidales; Prevotellaceae. The record is from RNAcentral.
GAUGAACGCUAGCUACAGGCUUAACACAUGCAAGUCGAGGGGAAACGGCAUUUAGUGCUUGCACUGAAUGGACGUCGACCGGCGCACGGGUGAGUAACGCGUAUCCAACCUUCCCAUUACUGUGGGAUAACCUGCCGAAAGGCAGACUAAUACCGCAUAGUCUUCGAUGACGGCAUCAGAUUUGAAGUAAAGAUUUAUCGGUAAUGGAUGGGGAUGCGCCUGAUUAGCUUGUUGGCGGGGUAACGGCCCACCAAGGCAACGAUCAGUAGGGGUUCUGAGAGGAAGGUCCCCCACAUUGGAACUGAGACACGGUCCAAACUCCUACGGGAGGCAGCAGUGGGGAAUAUUGGUCAAUGGACGAGAGUCUGAACCAGCCAAGUAGCGUGCAGGAUGACGGCCCUAUGGGUUGUAAACUGCUUUUGUAUGGGGAUAAAGUCAAUCACGUGUGAUUGUUUGCAGGUACCAUACGAAUAAGGACCGGCUAAUUCCGUGCCAGCAGCCGCGGUAAUACGGAAGGUCCGGGCGUUAUCCGGAUUUAUUGGGUUUAAAGGGAGCGUAGGCCGGAGAUUAAGUGUGUUGUGAAAUGUAGACGCUCAACGUCUGACUUGCAGCGCAUACUGGUUUCCUUGAGUACGCACAACGUUGGCGGAAUUCGUCGUGUAGCGGUGAAAUGCUUAGAUAUGACGAAGAACUCCGAUUGCGAAGGCAGCUGACGGGAGCGCAACUGACGCUUAAGCUCGAAGGUGCGGGUAUCGAACAGG